RNAcentral lists this ribosomal RNA (90 nucleotides) under Otolemur garnettii (small-eared galago). Lineage: Eukaryota; Metazoa; Chordata; Mammalia; Primates; Galagidae. The record is from RNAcentral.
GUCUAUAGCCAUGCCAGCCUGAACGCUCCAGAUCUCACCUGAUCUCAAAAGCUAAGCAGAGCUGGGUGUGGUAGCUCAUGCCUAUAAUUC